This is a non-coding RNA of Cajanus cajan (pigeon pea), 14763 nucleotides long. The record is from RefSeq and is a predicted model, not a curated record. NCBI's taxonomy places the organism in Eukaryota, Viridiplantae, Streptophyta, Magnoliopsida, Fabales, Fabaceae.
UGUAUUGUAAGAUUAUUUUAAAAUGCCAAAUGCGAAAUUAUUAUUUUUGCAUUGAGCUGUGUAUUUGUGUAAUACAUAUAUAAAUAUUUGUAUGUCUCUGUGUUUGUAUAUGUGCGUUGGACUGAAGAUCUCAAGAAACUGGUAGUUCUUGUGACUUUCUCUUCUAUUAUGUUAAUCAUUUCAAUGUUAUUCUUCCGUUGAUCAUGGAGAUUUUGGGGUUGUACUGCUCAAGUUUAUCCGUUUGCAACAUAAAUGAUAUUUCGGUGUUUAUAAAUUUUCUAUGCAUUCUUCAUACUGAAUAUAAGUAUGGCAAUUGAGUCUAGACAAAUUUUUUUUUUUUUUCUCUCCCUGAGAUCAUUGGUUUUGUUAGUUUCUUAGUUUUAUUUUCGUGCAUAUGGAUCCAGUUGUGAACCUCUGUUCUUGCCGUGCCAUCCACCCUCAUCCAUGAUUUGCUGAUCUGUUCCUAGAUUUUGAAGUCUUAAAUUUAUCUUUCUUUUCUACCUCUUAAAUUUUUAUUUAUCCGUGGGUAUCUAAGGGUGGGUAUGUGUGGAUAUUUGAGAAAAUGUAAAAUUUUAAAUAAAAAGGUAAGAAAUAACAUAAAACUAAAAUUAAAUGAUUUUGUAACAUUAUUUACACUAAAAUAAAUAAUUAUGACACAUAAUUUAGUGUAAAAUUAAAUUAAAUUAAACUACUUUAUAUAUUAUUAAGAGUAUUUUUCAUAUUUGGUAUGAACAUUCUUCAAUUUACCUUUCAUGAUUUCUGCUUUGGGAGUCAUAGGGAACUCAAUUACCGGAAGUAUAGUUGGUUAUGAAAGCAAGGUCUAAUCUUAUUGAAUUAUUUGGUGAUCGUUACCCUAGAUUCUGAAUUCUUGGAUCUGUCUGUAUCUAAUUUUCAUUGGUCUAGUAUGAGGAUUUUUUAUUUACUUCUCCCUGAUUUCAUCUUGGGUCAUACAGGGAAGUCUAGUGAAUGUCUGGGUUGGAUGCGGAAAUAGUGGUGUUAUCGUAUUGCUGGUUAUCCAUAUUGAUUAAAUCUUUCUGCUAAUUCUUGGUCUACUUGCAUUUUUUAUUUGCCUCAUUCUAGUUCCAGAUGAGUUAUCUUCGUGAGAGUUGCUGAUAGAAGAUUGAAUGAAUUAAUUAUGGAAUUCUUGAAUAUGUGGGCUAGAUUGUGGCUACUGUUAAAUUUAAUGUCUUUGACUUUGUACUGUAGCUAUUUUUUCUAUAGUGGGUUGUGACUAGUUUUGUUUAAUCUUCUGUAUACAUUGGUUUGAAGUGUGAAUUGGUGAUCUCCACCUGGCUUUUUUUUUUAAUUUUGGGAUUUGUCUUUUUUGUAUCCAUUUUACUCAUUAGGUUUAAUAUCCCUUGGCACAUUUAUAUGUUUAUUCUUGACUUUAUCUUUUAUGGAUUCUGGACUUGUUAAUAAAAACUUAACUGUGUAGGGUAAUUCAGGAAUAUCAUAUUUCCUGGCUGUUUCUGUAGUCUUGAAUUUGUCAUUUCAACUAUGUGAGGCUUAAUAAAAAAUUGUAAGACGAAGCUUUACAGGGAAAAUGAACAAUGAGUAUACCAUGAGCUAUGAAAGCAAUGGUAGGAGAGUACUAUUAGCCAAAUUUUUGCGAAAAUCCAUAGAUUUUUAUUGUCCUUACUGUAUUUUGUUAUGUUCAUAUUGGAAUCGUUAUCUUAUUCUGUUUGUUUUGGAUUGGUUGUUUUGACUGUUUAGGGUCCUGGCGGUGUCAGAGUUCUUGGAUGUUUCUGUAUCUGGAAUUAUACGAGUAUUGAUGGUUUCUGCUUCUAUUGAAGUACGUUAUGAAUUUUGAGAUUUUGUAUCCAAUUUUUCCACUAAGAGCAUUUAGUUUUUUGAUUUCAUUCUCGGUGAUUUUCCCUAGUGUCUCGUAGGGAAGAUGAACAAUAAUUUAUAUAGGGCUGUUGAAGGCAGAAGUUGCCCAUUGGCAUUGUGACUUCUGAUGAUUUUACUGUUAGCAGAAUUUAAUUUGAUUACAUUAUAACCAUUGAAUAAACCCCCUUUGGCCUAAUUAUUUCCUAUAUGUUAAGUACGUUACUAUGGCUUAGCUUAUGGUUUUGAUUUGCGCUCAUGUCUGGUUCCAUAAUCGAGUUGUGUUGUUUGAUCAUGUUUUGCAGCUUGCCGGGUCUGUUCCUGGUUUUAGAUUACGCUAUUCUUGAUACAAUGAUUUAGAGCAGCUAACAGCUUUUGGAAAAUCAAUUUCUUCGAUGAGUUUCCUCUAUUAUUUUAUUUCUCUGGAUUGAGCACCAAACCUAGGGAUUGAAUUGUGUUUUUCUACAGCAUAGUUUUUACGCUAUUCUUGAUUUUGGUAAAUCAAUUUCUUCGAUGAGUUUCCUCUAUUAUUUUAUUUCUCUGGAUUGAGCACCGAACCUAGGGAUUGAAUUGUGUUUUUCUACAGCAUAGUUUUUGGAAUUGUUUUGGUGUCCUUCAGCACACCAAGCCUCCGCAUUAUUUGGUAAUGUCUCCCGAAGUUUUAUUGUAAUAUUUCUUUUUGUUUAUAUACUUAGUCAUCUAUUAUGUGGGUUUGAUUAUUGUACUAGAUUUGGUAUCGCUUCAAUUUGCUGACUUUGUAAAUGCCUUUGGAUCUUUUAUGUUUUUGCUAAAUGAGCAUUAUUUUCAAUCCCUGUUUGGGAGGUUUUAUGUUUUACUGCCACAAAGGUUCUUUGAUGCUAUUGCAUAGGAUCUUCCCUUUUCUGAAAAUGAAUAAGCUUAAAGUUUUCUUCUGUUCCUGUUUUUUGGUUGUCUUUUCAUUUUUAUACUCUUUAUAAUGAGAAUUUUAAGUGUUGACUUUUCAUUUUAAAAUUGUACAGAUUAAUCAAUGAAUAUUUGGUAUCACUUCCAUUUGCUGACUUCUUAUGUGGAUUUGAUUUUGUUUUCAUUUGAUUUUGUUUUCAAAUGGAACUGUUGUAUUUGCUUUGUGUUCCUGUAAUCAAGAGAUUCAGUACUAAAGUUACCAAAGUUGAGACCCCCAAAUGACCCCCUUUUGCAUUACAUUGGACCUGAAUAAUUUCCCUUCAAUCUCAGUUUGAGCGGUUUUAUUUUGGAAAAUGAAUAAGCUUAAAAUUAUCUGUUUUUUGGUUAUAUUUUGUAUCAAAAUCCACAGACAUGUAGACGGUUGAAUCAUAACUUGAAUAAGUUUCUUUGGCAGGAUUUUCCUUGUAUUUUUAAGAGUAAUGUAGGUUUUUUUUUAUUUUUUAAUUUUAGAAUGAUCACAUUAAUAUUAUUUUUGCAUGGAGUUGUGAGUGUGUGUAUACAUACAUUUGUUCAAGUAAUUUUGUUAACCUGAUUCCUCCUUUGUUCUUGAACUGUUAUUUGAAUUUUCAAUCAAGCUUGACAAGAUUGCUUAAAUGAAAGCAUGUAAAAAAUGUUUGAUAAUAAUGCCUCCUAUGAUUAUUUUUAUACUUAUGAAAGUCUGUGUUCUACUUGUGCAUGAAAUUAGUUAUAUAAUCCAACUUAUCUUUGAUACAAUACUUAUCUUUUAAUUUUUUCCCCCUGUCCUUCCCUUUGAUCUACCUAAUAAUGAACUUGUAUGUGAAUUAAGUUUUACAUAAUUUAUCAUGUGGCAUUUUUUUCAUAGAACUAUUUUCUCUUUGUUAAUAUGGUUUUUCUUUUGUAUUUGUUAAGUGUCUUUUUUCUUAGUUUUAUGAUGUGCUUUGGACUGAAGAUCUCAAGAAACUGAAAGUUCUUGUGAGUUGUGACUCUUCUAUUUCAUCAAUCAUUUUAAUAUUAUUCUUCAGUUGAUGAUGGAGAUGUUGGCACUGUUCACUCAAUUUCAUUUUGUUUUCAGCAUGCUCAAGUACAUAAUAUAAUUUAGAACAAAUGAUUUUGGAGUGUAUCAAUUUGCAAUCCAUUCUUUGUGCACAAGUAUGAAAAAUAGGACAGCUAUAAAGUCUAAAUAAAUUUAAUUUUUGUUCAAUGGAUCUCUGUAUUGUUAGUUUCCAUAUUUGAUCACGGGGCAUUUAGAUCGAAUUUUGAACCUAUAUAUAUUUUUUGCAUGUAGUGUUGAGAAUAGUUUGGUGUUAUGUUCUGCAUAAGCAUCCAGCCUCAUGCAUGAUUUGGUGAUCUAUACUACACUGGGUUCUCAAUUCUAUGAUUUGCCUUAUGUUUUUUACUUUUCUUUGGUCUAGUAAAAGUGAAAUCUGAUUUACUUAUAUUCUUGAUUUCUUCCUGGUCUCACAGGCAGUUAAUGUGUGGUUGGUUGUGGACAUAGAGACUAUCUUGUUAAAUGACUUGGUGAUCUCUACCUAUGGCUUUUUAAUUCCCCGAUUUUAUUUCUACAUUGCAUUGGUCCAGUAUUAGCAUUUAGCUGUUUACAUCAACAAAAUUUUCCUUGGGUCUUACAGGGAAGACUAGGGACUGUGUGUUGGUUGGCAUCAGAAGCAGUGGCUAUCUUGGAUGUUUCUGUAACUGGAAUUUCUUCUAGGUAACAUGAACAAUGAAUUCGUGAAAGGCUAUUGUAGCAGUGGGCGGAGAAUGAUAUCCGGGCUUGUGCAAGAGAUUCCCUUACUUGGAUAUCAUCUUUGUAACACUAACAUCAUAUUUGGAGUUGGAUUUGUUUGUUCCGUUUUUUAUUGAGCACCGGAAUUUCCUGAGUUUCUCUUGGGUCCUAGAGCAAAGAUAAGCAAUGAAUAUGCUGUCUAAGCAGUGUCAGGGGAGGCAAUGAGGUUCUGUUCUAUGUUGUUCACUCUACUAUAAAAGUUCCUUUGGGUAUAUAUAUAUACACACACACACACAUUUUUUUUUUUUUUUUACAUCUAGGCUGUUUAUUUGAAUCUUGUUUUUGGAGGUAGUGAAAGCUGUGGUGGUAGAUUAUUGACAGACUUUCUAUGAAGCCUUUGGUUUUAUUACUCUCACUUUAAUUAUUUUCUGAUGUGUUCAUUCUAGACUCUAAUAUCUUCCUAUGGCGGAUUAUUUUCUUUUGUAGGCUUUGGUAGCCUGGUAGUGUGACAGUUAUUGUGGGUUUCUAACUGGAAAACAAGUCUAUUAGUGUCAUUGGAGUCAAACCGUUAGGGGGAUAAUUCUUUUGUUACAUUGCCUUCUCUACAGAGCAAUAAGAACAUCGUUUUUGGGCCAUUGACUCUUUGAUUUGUUGAUCUCUACGGAUAUAUAUCAAUUAUUAUUAAUUUUUUGGUGUCAUCAUAAGUGUUCAAUCAGAUCUUAAAAAAUAUUAUGUUGUUCACUCUACAACUGAAGUUUCUCAAAAUGUUUGCAUUGUAACUUCAGUGAGUUGCUGUAGUGUGGAGUAUUUUUUUUUGCAGCAUGUAGGCAUUGAUGCAAAAUAUUUAAUUUUGGUGACCUCUUACUCAUCUUCAAACCAAUUUUAAGUGUUGAACUUCUGACUGCUAUUUAUUUAUAUUGAUCAAUUGAUGAAUUUUUCUUAUUUUGGCAUCACGGGUUGUUGUCUAUCUUGAUUUUCUUGAAUUCCUAUGGGUUGCUUUUUGUGAGUGUCAUGUGUAACUGCUGAAUUUAUCUUAUGUUUUCUAUUAGGGUUAUAACUUUAUGUGAUGCUUUAGACAACAAAUUUGUUAAGAUUAGAGUAGCGAGGAUCUAUUCAAUUUACCAGACUAUAACAGCAACGAGUUGAGGAAUAUGUGAUAUUAUUUUGGUGACCUCUUACUCUUCUAACCCAUUUAAGUAUUAAAAUUCAGACUAUUUAUUUAUAUUGAUCAAUUUAUGUAUUUGCUGAUUUGGGCAUCACUAGUUGCGUCUAUCUUGAUUUUCUGUAAUUUCUUUGUGGGUUGCAUUUGUGAGUGACAUCUGGAACAACUGGAUUUAUAUUAUGUCUUUGUAUAAGGUUUAUAACUUUAGUGAAGGUUUAGACAACAAAGCCGUUAAUUUCUUUAGAUGAAAGUAGCAUGGAACCGUUCAAUCUAAUGGAUUAUAUCAGCAAGAGUUGACAAAUAUAUUAUGUAUUUUCUUAGAGCUUGUUUCCUUGUUUCUUUGAUGAGCAUUUGUUAAUCUAGGUAGCUUGAUUGUCUAAUUUAAUUUCUUUGACUUGUUAAUCUAGGUAGCUUGAUUAUUUGAUUUAAUUUCUUUGAUGUGUUUGAGUUGUCUAUCUUCUUAAUCGAGGAUUAUCAAUCUAGGUAAUUUGUGUUUUGUAUUUCUGAAAAUAAUUUUACCAUAUGAUAUAUAACUAUCGAUCUAGGUAACCAAAUUGAAGGCAGUAUUGUAUUGGAGAAUGUCCUUUUCUUUUGCAUUUGAUAUGUUAGCAAGAACUCAGGACUAUUUGAUUUGAUUUCUAUAAUAAUUACUCUGUCUUGUUAUUGUUUUCUGCAUUUAUUGCACAACACAUGGAUUGAAUUUUGAAAUUGAUUUUGCAGAGUUUAGUGUUUUGACAACAGAUUAAUCAAUGAAUAUUUGGUGGGUUUGGUAUCCUGAUCUUUUGCCGACUUUCUAUGGGAUUUCAUGUUUCUGUCAUCUCAAAAUGUUGGGUUACUUUUGUGUUUCUGCGUCAGGACUAAAGUCGCCAAAGUUUAGAGAUCCUAAAAUUUCACCCUUUUGGAUUACUCUGUAUCUAAAUAACUUCCAUUCAAUCAUCAUACUAUUAUUUUUCUUAUGUACAAUCUAACUGAACUUUUUUGAUAAUUCCAGAUCGAGAGGUUUUAUUGCCAGAAAAGCUUAUCCAUGCUACUGCACAUGACCUUUCUUUUCCUGGAAAGUCAUAAGCUUAAAUAAUUUUAUCUAUUUUAUAUUUUGUAUUGAAAUCCGAAGGCAUGUAGAAUGUUUGAAUAAAAGCUAAAUAAGCUUGUCUUGUAGUAUUUUGGAUGUUUUAUAAUAGUAUUGUACAAAUUAUUUUUUAAGUCAUUAUUAAUAUUUUUGCAUUGAGUCGUGUAUUUGUGUAAUACAUUACAUAUAUAAAUAUUUGUGUCUCUAUGUGUGUGUGUAUAUGUGAUUUGGACCGAAGAUCUCAAGACACUGAAAGUUCUUGUGACUUUUGCUUCUUCUUUUACAUAAAUCAUUUUAAUAUUAUUCUUCAGUUGAUCAUGGAGAUUUUGGGGUUGUACAACUCAAGUUCUUUCAUUUGCAACAUAAAUGAUAUUUCAGUGUUUAUCAUUUUGCUAUCCAUUUUUCAUACAAAAAAAGUAUGGAAAAUUGAGUCUAGACAAUAAUUUUUUUCAGUGGGAUCUUUUGUAUUGUUAGUUUCUUAAUUUUUUCAUGCAUAUGGAUCGAGUUGUGAACCUCUUCUCUUGCAGUGCUAUUCAGCCUCAUCCAUGAUUUGCUGAUUUGUUCCUAGAUUUUGAGUAUUUCUCAAUUUACGUUUUCAUGAUUUCUGCUUGGGACUCUCAGGGAAAGUGUGGUUGGUUGUGGAAACAGGGGCUAAUCUUAUUCAAUUUUUUGGUGAUCUUUACCCUGGAUUCUGAAAUCUUGGGUUUGUCUGUUUCUGAUUUUCAUUGGUCUAGUAUGAGGAUUUUUUAUUUACUUCUCUCUGAUUUCAUGUAGGGUCAUACAGGGAAGUUUAGUGAAUAUGUGGGUUGGAUGUGGAAAUAGUGGUGUUAUCUUAUUGCUGGUUAUCCAUAUCGAUCAAAUCUUUCUGCUAGUUAUCAGUCUAGUUGUGUUUAUUCAUUUUUCUCAUGCUAGAUUCCAAAUGAGUUAUGUGUUUUAUCUUCGUCGACAGAAGAUUGAAUCAAUAAAUUAUGUCAUUAAGGAAUAUGUUGGUUAGAUUGUGGCUACCGAUAACUUUAAUGUCUUUCACUUAGUACUGUUUCAUUUUCUGGAAUUGAUCACAGGAAAUAUGGAUUGAAUUUGAACCUGUUUCUUCUGCAGUGGGUUGUGACUAGUUUUUUUUUAUAAUGCACACGUUUGAAUUGGUGAUCUCUACUUGGCUGUUUUUGAAAUUUUGGAUUUGUCUAUUUUAUAUCCAUUUUACUCUUUAGGUUUAGUUUUCCUUGGUACAUUUAUGUUUAUUCUCGACUUUAUCUUUUAUGAGUCCUGGACUUGAUAAUAAAAACUUAACUGUGUAGGGUAAGUCAGAAUUAUCAUAUUUCGGCUGCUUCUUGGUAAGGAAUAGUAUCAGUCUUGAAGGCAAUGGUUUCAUCCAUCUCAACUUUAUCAUUUACAUCUCAACUUCACCAUUUCGACCAUGUGAGGCUUAAUCAGUAUUGUAAAAUUAAGCCUUACAGGGAAAACGAACAAUGAGUAUACCGUGAGGGGUGGAAAAAAUGGUAGGAGAGUACUAUUAACAAACUUUCUGUGUAUGUCCAUAGGUUUUUAUUACCUUCAUUGUUAUUUGUUAUGUUCAUUCUGGACUGGUUAUCUUAUUAUUUGUUAUGUUCAUUCUGGACCGGUUAUCUUAUUAUGUUGGAUUAGGAUUGGUUAUUAAGAUAAUGUAGGUCCUGCCAGUGUCAGAGUUAUUGGAUUUUUUGUAUCAGGAGUUGCAGGAGUAUUACCGGGUUCUGCUCUAUUGAAUUAUAUUCUUAUUUUUGAGUUUUUGUAUCCCUUCUUCUUUAUCCAUUAAGAGCAUUUAGUUUUUUCAUUUCAUUUUUGGGGAUUUUCUCUGGCAUCUUGUAGGGAAGAUGAACAAUAAAUUUAUGUAGGGCCAUGGAAAGCAAAAGUUACCGAUUGGUCACUGACAACUCUGGAAACGAUAAUUCUUGUGUUCACUUCAUUGGCAAGAAUUAUUGCUUGGGAAUUGCAAUUCAAGAUGUAUGUCAAAGGGAAAGGAUUAUGUGGUCACUUGGAUGGGAUUUUGACAAUAUAGGCAAGCGUUUUCAGUUGGAGUUGGAGAAGCUAAUUAGAAACAAGGGCCUUUCUCUUCAUUUAAGUGUGCAAGCUCUCCUUAUAUAGUCUGAAGUAGGCUCCUAGAGCAUGGUAUGACAAAUUUCGUUUCACUCUCCUUGGUUCCGCUUUACAUAGAUAAAUAUGAUUCCUCUUUGUUCAUUCACCAUACACCUAUUGACAUUGUUCUUCUACUCCUUUAUGUUGAUGAUAUGGUUAUUAUUGGCUCUGAUCAAGCAUCCAUCCAAGAACUUAAAAAUAAUUGCACUCAUUUCAUAUGAAAGACCUUGGCCACUUCCAAAGGUACAUUUCUCCAUCAGCAUAAGUAUGCCAUGGAUCUCAUCUCUAUGGUCGGCCUUCAAUCAGCUACUCCAGUGGACACUCCUCUUGAUGUUAAUGUUAAAUAUCAUCAUGACGUUGCUUUUCGCCAGAUUCUUUAUUGUACCGAGCUAAUUACUUGACCAUUACACGCUUGACAUCUCAUUUGCUGUUUAGCAGAUGAGUCAGUUCAUGCAUUAUCCUCAACAUCUCCACUUGGCAGCGGUUUGUUGUAUAAUUUACUAUUUGAAACCUUACUCUCAGCAAGGUUUAUUUUAUUCCACUGGAACACCUCCUAAAUUGAUUAUUUAUAGUGAUGCCGAUUAAGCUGGGUGUCCUGACACUUGACGAUUAGUCACUGGUUGGUGCAUGUUUCUAGGUUCCUCAUUGAUCUCGUGGAAAAGUAAGAAGCAAGCAUGCAUAUCUAAAUCAUCUAUUGAAUUAGAGUAUCGUGCCAUGUCUACCGCUUGUUCCAAAAUAAUUUGGCUUUGUGGUCUUUUGGUUGAACUUGGAUUUCCUUGGACAGAUCCAACACCUCUCUAUGUUGACAAUACAAGCGGCAUCCAGAUUGCUGCAAAUCCAGUGUUCUAUGAAGCACCAAGCCGACUGUCACUCUAUUCGUGAUGCUUAUGAUGAUCUGGUUAUUUCACUCCCUCACAUUACUACUCAGCUUCAAGUCUCAGAUAUUCUUACCAAGACUGGUCCUUGACCGUGUCAUCAGUUUCUUGUUAGCAAAUUGAUGUCGCUUGACCAGCCCCAUCAAUUUGAGGGGAGAUGUCAAUUAGGAAUUAUUUUGUAUCUUUAAUUAUUUUGAUUUGAUUUCUUAAGAAUGAACGAGGCAAAUCAUAGACUGGUUUGUUCUUUUUAAUUGUAUAUAUUAGAAUAUUUUGUAAUUAUGGGUAAUAAUUAUUGUAAAUAUUCUUAUCAUUAUUUAUAGAGGAAAUAACAAUACAGAAAAGGGCAUCAAGCCAUUUUUUGUGACAUGGCAUUGUGACAUCAUAUGAUUUAACUGUUACAAGAAUUUAAUGUGAUUGCAUUGCAUUAUAACCGUUUUACCAUCUACUAGAUAAUCUCAACCGUUAAUCCUGACCUUGCCCUUUUCUAUAUAAACGCCCUUUGGCCUAAGUAUUUUCCUCUAUCUUAAAUAGGUUAAUAUGGCUUAGGUUAUGGUUUUGGUUUUCGAUUAUGUUUGGUUGAUUAUCUCAAUUUCAUGAUUUUGACGUUUGAUGUUCAUAUUCUUACGAUCUGGUUCCAUAAUCGGAUUGUUUUGUUUGAUUAUGUUUUGCAGCAUGCCAGGCUUGUUGCUGAUUUUAGAUUCUGCUACUCUUGAUACAAUGAUUUAGAGCAGCUAACAGCAAAAAUCAAUUUCUUCCAUGAGUUUCCUCUGUUCUUUUAUUUCUCUGGACUUGAUCACCAAACCUAGGGAUUGAAGUGUGUUUCUACAGCAUUGUUUUUUUGAAUUGUUUUGUACAAAUGUCCUUCAGCACAUCAAGCCUCAGGCAUGAUUUGGCGAUGUCUCCCUGAGUUUUUGAAUUAUCAUAAAUUUUCUGUUUCUAUAAUUUGUCAUCUAUUAUGAGCAUUUUGUUUCCUCAAUUUAAUUCUACGUGACUUCUGCUUAUGCCUUGCAAUGAAGAAAAGCAAUGGAAACAGUUGCGGGAGAUUAUUGACUGACUUGCUGUUAAGCCUCAGGCUUACAUAGUUUAUUUACUGGCUAUGUUAACUUCUUGGUUGGUUCUUCUUUAGUGGUUUUCUUAUGUGUUCGUUCCUGAUUGGUUAUGCUAUCUUGUUGGCUGGAUUCUGAUUGGUGGUUUUGAUGGUGUUCGAUUACAUGGUAGUGUUGGAGUUCUCCUGUGUUUCUAACAGGAAUGAUAGGAGACCAAAAGAGGCACUGUAGUUUACCAUUUGGGACAUCAUGGUUGGACCUUUGACUAUUAUGAUAUUUGAUGGUUUGCUUCUUGGUUUGGAAAAUUCUACCACUCUUCUUUUACCGUUUCCUUGAUAAUUUUCAAUAUAAUCUACAGAAGUCUUCCCUCUUCCAAUUGAAUGACCUCUUCAUCGUAACUGCACAAGACCUCCCUUUGGAAUAGGAAUGAUUACUUGCUAUAUUGAACACGAAAUCUGUAAGUGUGGAAAUUUUGUUCCAAAUGUUACUAUGUCAAAUCUAUUUAUAUGAUUGUCUAGAUUUUUUUUAAUGCUGUGACAUCUUAUUGUGUUCCCUAAAUAAGUUCCCUUCAAUCUCUACUGCUCUGUCUCUGUACUCUGUACAUGCCUUGAUAAGUUUUAAGAUUAUUUUCUGUUCCAUUUUUAUUGGCUUUAUCAUUUCAUUUUUAUACUCCAUAUAAUGAAAACUUAAAGUGUUGACUUUUGAAUCUUCGAUUGUUCAAAUUUUACAGAUUAAUCAAUGAAUAUGUACUGGUAUCACUUUAAUUUUCUGACUUAUGUGGAUUUAAUUUUUUUUUUCAUAUGGAACAAUUGUAUUGCCUUUGUGCUCCUGUACAAGGAGAUUCAGGACUAAAAUCACCAAAGUUUUGAGACCCAAAUUUCCCCCCUUUUGGAUUACUCUGGAACUGAAUAAUUUUCCUUCAGUCUCUGUACUUUGUAAAUGCCUUUGGAUCUUUUAUGUUUUUGCUAAUUGAUGAUUAUUUUUAAUGCCUGUUUGGGAGGUUUUAUGGUCUUACUGCCAAAAAGGUUCUUUGAUGCUAUAGGACCUUCCCUUUUCUGAAAAUGAAUUAGCUUAAAAUUAUCUUUUGUUCAGUUUUUUUCGUUUUAUCUUUUCAUUUUUAUACACUUUAUAAUGGGAAUUUUAAGUGUUGACUUUUGAUUUUUUAAAUCGUACAGAUUAAUCAAUGAAUAUGUACUGGGUUUGGUAUCACUUCCAUUUGCCGACUUCUUAUGCGGAUGUAUUUUUUUUUUUCCCAUAUGGAACUGUUGUAUUUCCUUUGUGUUCCUCUAAUCAGGAGAUUCAGUACUAAAGUCACCAAUGUUUUGAGAUCCCAAAUGACCCCGCUUUUGGAUUACCCUGGACUUGAAUAAUUUCGCAUACCUUUGAAUCUUUUAUGUUUUUGCCAGUCAAACAUUUUUUUAAUCUCAGUUUGAGAGGUUUUAUUUUUGAAAAUGAACAAGGUUAAAAUUAUCUCAUUCUUUUUUUUUUUUUUUAAUAUUUUGUAUCAAAAUCCACAGGCAUGUAGAAGGUUGAAUCAAACUUGAAUAAGUUUCUCUUACAGGAUUUUCCAUGUAUUCCAUAGAGUAUUGUAUAGGUUAUUUUGUUUUUUUAAAAUGAUCAAAUUAAUGUUAUUUUUGCAUGGAGUUGUGUGUGUACAAAUACUUGUUUAAGUAUUUUUGUUUAUCAUGAUUCCUCUUUUUUCUAGAAUUUUUGUUUUUUGGACUUUCAAUUGAGCUUGAAAAGAUUGCUUAAUAUGACCGGAUGUAAAUGUUUUGCAAUAAAGCCUUUACCAAUUUCUUUCCUGCGAUUAAUUUUUUUUAGUAUAAACUAUAAUGUAUACAAUUCUUUUUGAUACCUCGUAUGAAAAUCUUGGUGUUCAACUUGUGCAUGAAAUUACUUAUAUAAUUAAACUUAUCUUUGACACAAAAAAAUUGUAGAUUCUCCCUAUCUUUUAAUUUUUUUCCUUGUCCUUACCUAUGAUCUACUAAUAAUGAACUUGUAUGUGAAUUAAAUUUUACAUAAUAAUUUAUCAUGUGAUACUUUUUUCUUAGAAUCAUUUUAUCUUAAAAAAUUAAAAAAAGAUUUUUCUUUGGAUUUUUUUUGUGCACAUCGAUGUUUGCCAUUAUUUAUAUUGUAUUUAAGAAAUCAUUUUCUUAUUUGGAAAAAUCAAUAAUGAAUUUUUGUUAAAGAAUAUUUUAGAACUAGGAGAAAGGAAAUCUGGAGGAGUAUAGUUUUACUCCUUAUUUAUAUGAUCUCUUACCUGUGACAUUGCUUUUCUUCUUAUAGGAAUGCCAGAGUCCAAUCAACUUUGCAAAGAACUGCAUAACAGUUGAAAAUCAAAUCAUUUCAGAUUACGUUCUUUGCAUUUAAAUUCUUCUUGAUACCCUGACAACCAUUUGUGUUUUUUGUAAAAGAACAUCUUGAUAUCAUCCUUGAAGGCUUGUGGGAAGAAUAUGAAAUAAUGUCUCUUAUCAGUAGUUAUUUCGACAUGCUGAAAUGGUAGAGAAACAAAAGAAAUAUUGCUGAAAUGAGAGCCCCAAGUCAGUGAAAGGUUUUCUUGACUUCAAAUUCUUAUUUCGAAUCUAACAUAAUCUCUCAAAAAUGAUUCCCCAAUUGCAUAACACUCCUUCUCUCUCUUCUAACUGACUACUUAAAUCUGAAUGGUUAUUGAAUUGAUGGGUACAAUUAAAGUAAAUAAAUAAGCAUAAAGCAUAAUCUCUGAAGUUUAGGGAUUCAGAUAAAACACUCCCUUAAGCUGGAGAUAUAUAUUAUAUGUGAUGGUAUUCUUGCUUGCAUUGAUAGAAUGGUUGAUUAAUGUGAGGAUACCUUAAUUCCUUAUUCCUUGGAAUCAAGUCCUUCAAGGGUAGUGUCCUUCAAGCGUAGUGUUUAGUGGAUGAAGUAUUUGAUGAAAGGUUUAAAGGGUAUUUUAGGUUUGAUUCACUUUAAAUAUUGAAUGUUGUUUUUAGGGUAGGGUGGUUUUUCUCUUGGUAGGGUUUGGUUGAAAAUAGCUAAGGGAGGUUAGUCUAGGGUAUUUGGAGGAUGAUUAUUUAAGAUACUCCGUAUUAUGGGAAAUACAAAUAAAAAUAAAUUUUAUGACUAAGACACAUCAAAAUAAGGUAAAAUAGGAAAUACAAGAAAAAUAAAUCUUAUGUCUAGGGUCUCAAAAUAUAAGGAUAAAAUAGGAAAUUAAGAAUAAGGGCAAAAAAUAGAAUAUCCAUAAAAAUUUAGGAGUUAAGAAUCAAAAGUAGCCUUAUUCCUUUCAUGCUUUUUUACUCUUAUGCUUUCUAAAAGUUAACUUAUUCUCUUGCCUCCUUUAAUAUAUCACCUCUUGGUCUUCUUGAGCUUAGUGUGAUUUUAUUAAUAUGCAUCUAGUUUAUUACAUGUAUAUGUUAUCUUAAGACCUCGUAAAUAUUUAGUAAUGAUAUUUGUAAGUUAAUCCUUGGAGCAAAUUAAGGAGGUCUUGAUUAAGCCGGAGUGUCUGAUGAAAUGACAGUCAACUUUUAUGUGAUUUCUCUCAUAAAAAUGGAUUAGAGGAGAGGUAUAAAGUUGACUGCUUAUUACAAACUAGUUCCAUAUGGUGUGAACUGUAAAGAGAGCAGUUGCAGAAUUGACUCUCUUUCAUUAAACCUGUAACUAUUAGGCUCAUUAAACCUAUAACUAUUAGGCUGAUUUUCACUGGCUAUUAUCAUCAACUAGAUGUUAAUAAUGUUUUUUUAAAUGAUGCAGCAUCCACCAGGUUUUGAGACUGAUUCUAUUAUGGUUUGCAAGUUAAACAAAGCUCUAUAUGGCCUGAAACAAGUUCCUAGGCAAUGGUUUGAUAGAUUACAAGCUACUCUGCUGCAGUUCUCUUUUCAUUUAUCACAUAAAUAACAAUAUUGUCAUGUCUAUCUUUUGGUCUAUGUAGAUGAUAUUAUCAUCAUUGGAAGUUCAUCUAAGUUUACUCUGUAGCUUAUAUGUCAACUCAAUGCUAUAUUUUCUCUAAAAACAUCUUGGCAAGUUGGAUUAUUUUUUGGGAAUAGAGGUCAAACACCAGCCAAAUGGUUCUAUAAUUC